Molecule: ribosomal RNA, 465 nt
Filed under: uncultured bacterium
Lineage: Bacteria
Description: partial 16S ribosomal RNA
Rfam family: Bacterial small subunit ribosomal RNA
Source: RNAcentral
GACGAACGCUGGCGGCGUGCUUAACACAUGCAAGUCGAACGGAAAGGCCCUGCUUGCAGGGUACUCGAGUGGCGAACGGGUGAGUAACACGUGGGUGAUCUGCCCUGCACUUCGGGAUAAGCCUGGGAAACUGGGUCUAAUACCGGAUAGGAGCCAUUUUUAGUGUGAUGGUUGGAAAGUUUUUUCGGUGUAGGAUGAGCUCGCGGCCUAUCAGCUUGUUGGUGGGGUAAUGGCCUACCAAGGCGGCGACGGGUAGCCGGCCUGAGAGGGUGGACGGCCACAUUGGGACUGGGAUACGGCCCAGACUCCUACGGGAGGCAGCAGUGGGGGAUAUUGCACAAUGGGCGCAAGCCUGAUGCAGCGACGCCGCGUGGGGGAUGACGGCCUUCGGGUUGUAAACUCCUUUCGCUAGGGACGAAGCUUUUUGUGACGGUACCUAGAUAAGAAGCACCGGCUAACUACGUG